RNAcentral lists this ribosomal RNA (520 nucleotides) under uncultured Archaeospora. RNAcentral's name for it is "SSU rRNA". It matches the Rfam family "Eukaryotic small subunit ribosomal RNA", at positions 569 to 1098 of the family's 1831-position model. Lineage: Eukaryota; Fungi; Glomeromycota; Glomeromycetes; Archaeosporales; Archaeosporaceae. The record is from RNAcentral.
AGCAGCCGCGGUAAUUCCAGCUCCAAUAGCGUAUAUUAAAGUUGUUGCAGUUAAAAAGCUCGUAGUUGAAUUUUAGGCCUGGCCGGGCGGUCCGUCUUUGGCGAGUACUGUUCUGUGUCGGGUCUUACCUUCUGGUAAACCGGCAUGUUCCUUUAUCGUGUAUGCCGGGGAACCAGGACCAUUACCUUGAAAAAAUUAGAGUGUUUAAAGCGGGCUUUUGCUUGAAUAGAUUAGCAUGGAAUAAUAAAAUAGGACGUUGGUUCUAUUUUGUUGGUCUAGGACCACCGUAAUGAUUAAUAGGGAUAGUUGGGGCAUUAGUAUUCAAUUGUCAGAGGUGAAAUUCUUGGAUUUAUUGAAGACUAACUAUUGCGAAAGCAUUUGCCAAGGAUGUUUUCAUUAAUCAAGAACGAAAGUUAGGGAUCGAAGACGAUCAGAUACCGUCGUAGUCUUAACCAUAAACUAUGCCGACUAGGAAUCGGGCGACGUUAUUUCACGACCCGCUCGGCGCCUUAUGGGAAAC